ACGCCCCGCAAGGGGAGUGGCAGACGGGUGAGUAACGCGUGGGAACAUACCCUUUCCUGCGGAAUAGCUCCGGGAAACUGGAAUUAAUACCGCAUACGCCCUACGGGGGAAAGAUUUAUCGGGGAAGGAUUGGCCCGCGUUGGAUUAGCUAGUUGGUGGGGUAAAGGCCUACCAAGGCGACGAUCCAUAGCUGGUCUGAGAGGAUGAUCAGCCACAUUGGGACUGAGACACGGCCCAAACUCCUACGGGAGGCAGCAGUGGGGAAUAUUGGACAAUGGGCGCAAGCCUGAUCCAGCCAUGCCGCGUGAGUGAUGAAGGCCUUAGGGUUGUAAAGCUCUUUCACCGGAGAAGAUAAUGACGGUAUCCGGAGAAGAAGCCCCGGCUAACUUCGUGCCAGCAGCCGCGGUAAUACGAAGGGGGC
RNAcentral lists this ribosomal RNA (421 nucleotides) under Agrobacterium tumefaciens. RNAcentral describes it as "bacterial SSU rRNA". It matches the Rfam family "Bacterial small subunit ribosomal RNA", at positions 66 to 535 of the family's 1533-position model. The record is from RNAcentral. Lineage: Bacteria; Pseudomonadati; Pseudomonadota; Alphaproteobacteria; Hyphomicrobiales; Rhizobiaceae.